UACAGAGGGUGCAAGCGUUGUUCGGAAUUACUGGGCGUAAAGGGCGCGUAGGCGGCCCGCUAAGUCGAACGUGAAAUCCCCGGGCUCAACCCGGGAACUGCGUCCGAUACUGGUGGGCUCGAAUCCGGGAGAGGGAUGCGGAAUUCCAGGUGUAGCGGUGAAAUGCGUAGAUAUCUGGAGGAACACCGGUGGCGAAGGCGGCAUCCUGGACCGGUAUUGACGCUGAGGCGCGAAAGCCAGGGGAGCAAACGGG
Molecule: ribosomal RNA, 253 nt
Filed under: uncultured bacterium
Lineage: Bacteria
Description: partial 16S ribosomal RNA
Rfam family: Bacterial small subunit ribosomal RNA
Source: RNAcentral